Rhopilema esculentum is the source of this 2959-nucleotide long non-coding RNA. RefSeq lists it as uncharacterized. Lineage: Eukaryota; Metazoa; Cnidaria; Scyphozoa; Rhizostomeae; Rhizostomatidae. The record is from RefSeq and is a predicted model, not a curated record.
UCCUCGCAUAUCUCCAUUUCACAAGAGCGAGGGCUACAACAUUCAGACGUUUCAGAGCUGUAUUCCUCAUCAAGGCUUCUCAAAUCUUCAAAUUGCAGAAGAGGAAGGUCAUUUGACAUAAAACAAGCUGAAGCUGACGCAGUGCUGCAUGUGUGGUGCACUUUCGGACAUAAGCAAGAUGCUGACAAUACACGAUCGAUAAAGGGGGUGGCAUGUGCGCCCACUCUUUUGCCUAGAUUCUAUUCUGAGCACUAGAUGCACACACACGUAGCUGUUGAAACACUGGUAAGUAUAUUAGCGGGUAGGCAGAUGAGACGUAGGUAUUUCUUCACUUACUUUAGGAAAUACGUGUGUGUAUGUUCAACAUGUUUGUUUAGCAACUGUAUUACGCAUCAAAUGUUUACAGUGAGAGUUUCGAUACCCUCUCAUUUCUCGUUGUGUCUGUUGUCAGGACGACUGCCGAAAUAAAUUCCUUUUAUUAUAUUGAAUUGGUGACUUAACUGACCUUGCAGGAAGUAGAUUGCGUCAUAGGAGACAGAGGGCGAUAGUAGUGUCCAGAAUAUAUGAUGCAUUCAUUUCAAGAGUACCCCCGAAGCAGUAUUCCUAAUAAAUAAAAAGCAUCAAAAGACUUAUAUGAAUUUAUCUCCCAGGUACACUCAACUCAUGCUUCUUCUGACUGCUUCUUCUGAAUCCAGAAGUUUUUACUCGCUCUAUGUAACAUUUGGUCAUGCAUAAAAUCUUUUUUUAAACAGCACUAACGAGAUUUCUUUGCUGUACUUAAACCCAAAUCUGCCACAGGACUCAUAAGCAGACUAUCUUUGAUUAUGUUCUAUAAUGUUGUUGCUCCUGGUUUGACACCUUCAAAAUCAAAGUACGAAUCAUAUAUGAGAACAAUUUACAAUUAUGUAGAAAAGCCUCAUCAUUGCUGAACUGUUUUACAGGAAAUCACUAGGAAUAUUUUGGAGGGAACAAGCAAGGGGAUCAGGAGUAGCACAAGCCGGAAUUCGGUGGGGUGUACAGGGGAAAAUUGGGGGCACUUCAUUUCUAAAAGUAAGAAACCUUAAACCUGUUUAAUUUUAAGAUGUUCCAUGUCUUCAAAUGUUCAAGUGUGACGUGUGCAGCUAUGGCGUCACAGACUAGAGAGAGGUGACAUGUAUAGUCACUGCAAGAACAAGCAGACCAACGACAUUGGUAACACAAACAAGUCUUUCCUGGAGAAUUAGCUGCUCCAGUUUUGAUUGUGAUAUAAAGAAUCGAACUGGCGAGUGGUUUUGCUUCGACCGAGAAAGGUUGAAUGCCUUUUUACAUUAUGACAUACACUGAUGCACCAAGAAGACGACGGAGCACACCUUUUCGUCAGAGUACCUUGACUCACCUCUUUUCGAAAAAAACUUUACUUGAGCUAUAUCUUUCGAGGAAUUUUCAACGGAGUGGCUACAGAGACCUCACAGUUUGUUUUUUCAGCAUUUUGUAGUUGAUUCAUUGCUCUCUUUUUGACUCAUAGUUGCUUUGUAAGCUGGAUUUAGUCCAAAUAUAUAUAUAUAUAAAUCCAAAUAUGGAUGUCUAUUAUUCAUCUGUUUUCUUGUUUUAAAGCCUGCCCCCCCUCAGGUAUGGUUCUUGCAUCCAGUUUACCCACCCCAGCCGACAUCUCUAGCUAUGUGGUCGUGGUUGAGCUCUGGUGAUCUCUAAAGGAUUUGAUAACAAGAUUACUUGAUUGACUAUACGAGACUUUUCCCAGAUUUAGUCCUAUUGUUAAGUCCAUAGAGGUUUCCAUAAAGACUGUGUAGUCUCAAAACUAAUAUCAAGGAAAAGAGUGAAAGCAAAUUGCAUGCAAGGCUAAACCCAAAUGAUACCAGUGCUUCAGUGCCGUCGGAACGAAAUUCAUAUUGAGGGGGGCUGCCCAUCGUUUUCCUUCUCAUUCACUACACUGUUAUAAAGGAAACAUACUACAGUUUGACAAUUAUUGGGAGUCUCCAGACGUCCCCCCCUCCCCCAGCACCCCCCCCCGGUUCCGACGGCCUGCUCUUCGAUACUCUUUAAGUAUAAGCAGUCGAUGGAUGUUAACUAAUACAACAAAUUGACCAGGUUUCUGAUGAUCCCAAAUUUCAAACUGACAAGUCAAGUUUUCUAAUUUACAGACAGUUGAAUAUCGGGAGUAGCAUUUCUUAUUUACAAUGGUGACAUGCAUAGUAUUUUGCGGAAAAGCGAAUCCCCACGGCUCCUACACAUCUUUGAUUUACAAUUUCCCGCAAUGUUUUCCAUAAAUUCAUAAUUUGGUCCCUUUUUGCUACACUGCACUACUUUUACAAGCAAACCUAGGACGCUGUGGCAAAGAGGUAAAAGGUUGGCAAGUCCAGGACCAAUGCUAGCUACUGUGCUCAAAGAGGGGGAGAGGUGUUCUGAUCCUAUUUGGCGACAAAGUGGGUGAGCCAUCUUUUAUUUGCCGACAAGUCUGAAAAUUUGCCGACGAAGCACCCCCUACAUGGCAAAAAAACUUCUCGUUUUUACAAUGGAGCUUUUUUCAAGGAGGGUGUCGCACUGCAUUCGACACAAAGCAUCUUGAUGGUGGCUAUAUCCGAAACUUUGUUUUAACUCCAAACCAUUCUACCUUUCAUUCAGACCUAUCUAUAGAAAAUCGUGUUCAUUGAAGCAAAUGCUGCAAAGACAAUGCAUGGCCUAAUUUCCAUUUUCGAAAUUGAUGGAAUAUUCCCUGGACUUCGGAUGGACUUCAGAUGCUUAUAUUUGACCCUCCCAGUCAGUGGCGUACCAUGGGCCGCAGCAGCGGGGGGUCUGGGGCUUAGCCCCCAGAAAUUUUUUUAGAACCACGCCCUUCAAACACUCGCAAAUGCGGGGAAACGCCUUUUUUGCAAAAUUUCCCCCCAUUAUUUGAUUCAUGUUAGCUACGGUAAAUAGCAAAGUAUUUUACAAUUGUUAAUGACACAAGCAUACAGUAUACUAC